RNAcentral lists this small RNA (127 nucleotides) under Marmota monax (woodchuck). Lineage: Eukaryota; Metazoa; Chordata; Mammalia; Rodentia; Sciuridae. The record is from RNAcentral.
GCCGGGCGCAGUGGCCCACGUCUGUAAUCCCAGCUGCUUGGGAGACUGAGGCAGCAGGAUUGCAAGUUCAAAGCCAGCGUCAGCAAAUGAGCAAGGCCCAAGGUAACUUAGCAAGAUCCUGUCUCAA